Xenopus laevis (African clawed frog) is the source of this 542-nucleotide long non-coding RNA. RefSeq lists it as uncharacterized. The record is from RefSeq and is a predicted model, not a curated record. The transcript has 2 exons. Lineage: Eukaryota; Metazoa; Chordata; Amphibia; Anura; Pipidae.
UGCCUUCUUGCUUGUCAGUUCCAUUACGUCAGGCGCGGUGUUAGGUUUCAUCGGGGCAGAAGUCUUUGCUGCAUCAUCAGAUUGUAUUCUGGAGACAACACAGUACAGAGCUGGGAUAUCUUAUUAGUUCCAAUGACUAUACUGACCGCUGUUGAACUGAACUUCAAACCGCAUGUUUUAUAAUAUUUUUUCUACUGUCCUUUUGACAGUAGAAAAAGGUAAUAAAAAAACUUACCUAAAAGCAGAUGGUCUCCUCCGGAGAGGAUAUGUAAGCGUAGUGUAUGAAUGUAGGCCACAGACUUCCUCUUCUUCCUGCCUCAAACAAGCAACCCAGCACAUGUUUGUGGCUUUUCUUAAUAAUAAUAUUUAACAGAAAGAAAAUAUUAUCCGCGUAAGUAGGUUCCCCCACAGACGGUGUGCUUUCCUAUAAGAAGUCAAAAAGAGUCAGCUUCUCAGUGCUGAAGACCCUUUUAUAAAUCAGAUGGAGGUGACUCAUUGACUGUAAUUUCCCACCCGUUCUCUUUCUUCUCGUAAGAGAGAGA